This 204-nucleotide ribosomal RNA is filed under the name uncultured bacterium. Its description in RNAcentral is "partial 16S ribosomal RNA". It matches the Rfam family "Bacterial small subunit ribosomal RNA", at positions 10 to 218 of the family's 1533-position model. The record is from RNAcentral.
AGUUUGAUCCUGGUCCAGGUUGAACGCUGGCGGCAUGCCUUACACAUGCAAGUCGAACGGUAACAGGUCUUCGGAUGCUGACGAGUGGCGAACGGGUGAGUAAUACAUCGGAACGUGCCCGAUCGUGGGGGAUAACGAGGCGAAAGCUUUGCUAAUACCGCAUACGAUCUACGGAUGAAAGCGGGGGAUCUUCGGACCUCGCGC